GCCUACGGGUGGCUGCAGUGGGGAAUAUUGCACAAUGGGCGCAAGCCUGAUGCAGCGACGCCGCGUGGGGGAUGAAGGCCUUCGGGUUGUAAACCCCUUUCAGCAGGGAAGAAGCGAAAGUGACGGUACCUGCAGAAGAAGCGCCGGCUAACUACGUGCCAGCAGCCGCGGUAAUACGUAGGGCGCAAGCGUUGUCCGGAAUUAUUGGGCGUAAAGAGCUCGUAGGCGGUUUGUCGCGUCUGCUGUGAAAACCCGAGGCUCAACCUCGGGCCUGCAGUGGGUACGGGCAGACUAGAGUGUGGUAGGGGAGACUGGAAUUCCUGGUGUAGCGGUGGAAUGCGCAGAUAUCAGGAGGAACACCGAUGGCGAAGGCAGGUCUCUGGGCCACAACUGACGCUGAGGAGCGAAAGCGUGGGGAGCGAACAGGAUUAGAUACCCUUGUAGUCCC
Molecule: ribosomal RNA, 448 nt
Filed under: uncultured Demequina sp.
Lineage: Bacteria; Bacillati; Actinomycetota; Actinomycetes; Micrococcales; Demequinaceae
Description: bacterial SSU rRNA
Rfam family: Bacterial small subunit ribosomal RNA
Source: RNAcentral